CGCCUUCAGCAGUGCGCAAGCGUAGCGCACCGGGAGUGGACAUUUUGGUCUUUGUCCGCGGGUCAGCACGGCUUCUGGGUCCACGUGGCGCGAAAGUAGGAGCCUGUCUCCUUUGCAUCUCUGGAAAGGACUUCUUCCUCAUCCUUCAGUAGCUCCAGAGGCCCCUGGGCUUGUCCUGAAACCUAGGAUGGUACUUUUGCCCUGGCAUUAACAUUUUAAUGUUGUGCCAUUUUCCCAAAAGCAGAUUGUCUUAAAGAGGCCAAACUAUCUGAAUCCCGCAUUCAUGGAGAAAGAAGUGGAAAGGAAGUUGUCCAGGUAAAAUCCUGAGAAGAUGAUGAGCAGAUAGAGAUACAUCAGAACUUGGAGAUAAAUUACAUCUAUCAUCAAUAAAACCCAGACUGAGGAAAGGAGCAUUGUAUAUAAGGCAAUUGUAAAAUAAUCAUUCUGCUCACAGCCCUUAUUUUAUUUUUGUGCUGGUCCUGGGGCUUGAACUCAGGGCCUGAGUGCUGUCUCUGAACUUUUUUGCUCAAGACUAGCACUCUGCCACUUGAAUUGCAGCCCAUUUGUGGGUGUUGUUGUGUG
Long non-coding RNA from Perognathus longimembris pacificus (Pacific pocket mouse), 582 nucleotides. RefSeq lists it as uncharacterized. The record is from RefSeq and is a predicted model, not a curated record. The transcript is spliced from 3 exons. Lineage: Eukaryota; Metazoa; Chordata; Mammalia; Rodentia; Heteromyidae.